RNAcentral lists this ribosomal RNA (574 nucleotides) under uncultured bacterium. Its description in RNAcentral is "bacterial SSU rRNA". It matches the Rfam family "Bacterial small subunit ribosomal RNA", at positions 352 to 916 of the family's 1533-position model. The record is from RNAcentral.
CAGUGAGGAAUAUUGCGCAAUGGGGGAAACCCUGACGCAGCGACGCCGCGUGGGUGAGGAAGGCUUUCGGGUCGUUAAACCCUGUCAGAAGGGAAGAAAUGUUUAUAGGCUAAUACCUUGUAAGUUUGACGGUACCUUCAAAGGAAGCACCGGCUAACUCCGUGCCAGCAGCCGCGGUAAUACGGAGGGUGCAAGCGUUGUUCGGAAUCACUGGGCGUAAAGGGCGCGUAGGCGGCUUGGCAAGUCAGAUGUGAAAGCCCACGGCUUAACCGUGGAAGUGCAUUUGAAACUGCUUGGCUUGAGUAUCAGAGGGGAAAGUGGAAUUCCCGGUGUAGAGGUGAAAUUCGUAGAUAUCGGGAGGAAUACCGGUGGCGAAGGCGACUUUCUGGCUGAAUACUGACGCUGAGGCGCGAAAGCGUGGGGAGCAAACAGGAUUAGAUACCCUGGUAGUCCACGCCGUAAACGAUGUCAACUAGGUGCAGGGGGUGUUGAUCCCCUCUGUGUCGCAGCUAACGCAUUAAGUUGACCGCCUGGGGAGUACGGUCGCAAGAUUAAAACUCAAAGGAAUUGACGG